Molecule: ribosomal RNA, 300 nt
Filed under: uncultured Paracoccaceae bacterium
Lineage: Bacteria; Pseudomonadati; Pseudomonadota; Alphaproteobacteria; Rhodobacterales; Paracoccaceae
Description: bacterial SSU rRNA
Rfam family: Bacterial small subunit ribosomal RNA
Source: RNAcentral
GCGUGGGAACGUGCCCUUGGGUAAGGAACAACAGUUGGAAACGACUGCUAAUACCUUAUGACCCUCCUCUUUAGCGAUAUUGGGGAGGCAAAGAUUUAUCGCCCAGGGAUCGGCCCGCGUUGGAUUAGGUAGUUGGUGGGGUAAUGGCCUACCAAGCCUACGAUCCAUAGCUGGUUUGAGAGGAUGAUCAGCCACACUGGGACUGAGACACGGCCCAGACUCCUACGGGAGGCAGCAGUGGGGAAUCUUGGACAAUGGGGGCAACCCUGAUCCAGCCAUGCCGCGUGAACGAUGAAGGCC